This 79-nucleotide non-coding RNA is filed under the name Candidatus Omnitrophota bacterium. RNAcentral's name for it is "Omnitrophica WOR c-di-GMP sequence". It matches the Rfam family "c-di-GMP-I-GGC riboswitch aptamer". Lineage: Bacteria; Pseudomonadati; Candidatus Omnitrophota. The record is from RNAcentral.
ACUGAUAAAGGUAAACCUUGAGUAAUCAGGGGGCGCAAAGCUAUGGAUCCUCUAGAAGAGGACCGCCAGGCUGCCAAAG